Long non-coding RNA from Psammomys obesus (fat sand rat), 1085 nucleotides. RefSeq lists it as uncharacterized. The transcript is spliced from 3 exons. NCBI's taxonomy places the organism in Eukaryota, Metazoa, Chordata, Mammalia, Rodentia, Muridae. The record is from RefSeq and is a predicted model, not a curated record.
AAAAGAAACAUGGUAACCUUGGAAACCCUUCCCAGGUGUCUUCAGUGCUUCGCAGUCACCUGUCCUAUAACCGUCCUUACUGAGCAUUACUGAAGUUAAUGGAAUCAACUGAUUCAAAGGACAGACCUCAUCAGCUCCCAAUCUCUUGCAUACCAAUGAUAUGUAAAUGUGAGGAGAGAAGAGGGUAAAUAAAAUCACAUCCAAUAUCAUCAAAAAAAAAUAUUUUUUUUUUAAGAAGAAAGACAAAGGAGAGAAAAGUUUCUUCCACUGAGGAGGAAAAUGAACUUGGUGUCUGCCACCAAUGACAUCCACUUCAUAGAAUGCAAAGCACCAGUGCCAUAUUGUGUACAUCACAAAGCCUCCAGUGCCAUCAGACCCCACGGACUGCAGAGCCAUCAGUGCUGUCUGAUCACAAACUGCGGAGCCUUGGAGGACAUAGCUCUCCUUUUUGAGGUUCUGUUGUUGAGUGAAGAUGGGCAUAGUACAGCCUGACUUGAUUCAACUGUCUCAGCAUCAGUGGAUGGCGAGGGCCAGCCAGUGUUCCAGGAGAAGAUGGUGAAAGGCCCCAUAUCACCCUGAGUUAAACAGAGUUAAACAUAGCUAACGCCAUGCCAUUUUGUGAUGUACCACAGUUCUGGGAAAAAUAGUAAAGGCCGGAUGGGAACUAAAAAUUACUCUGAGAAAUCCAGCUAAGUCACCCCCCUCAAGAUAUCUGCGGUCAAGGCUGCCCCAACUGAGCAAAAAACAACUUUGUCCUGACCACCCUCAUGGGAUAUCUGACAGGUGGUCCAGCUGAGAUAGGAGUCCUGGGAAAAGCAACAUAUGGCGGCACUAGUCAAGGUCGUCAUAAUUGUUUUGACCACCCAGUUCCUGGAAUUCUGGUGUCCCUGCCAACCCUGAUUCAUGUUACGGUUUCAUGUGAAAGAGCCAAUCAGCUCCUUGUAACUAUGCUUCUCGCUUCUGUAUCAGUGCUUCUGUUCUAACCCUAUAAAAAACCCAGCUUUCCACCCGGAAAGGCGCGUAAAGUCAUCUGAGUGGCUUUCCGCCCGGGUACCCGUGUAUCCAAUAAAGCCUCUUGCUGUUUG